CCAUCGCUUCUCAUAGUUUUCGAGUGUGAUAGUGGUUUUACAAACUGAAGUAUUGCAAACCCACUAUUUUCACUUCGAAAAUGAGAAGGUCGUUCUCACAU
RNAcentral lists this microRNA precursor (101 nucleotides) under Haemonchus contortus (barber pole worm). RNAcentral's name for it is "microRNA hco-mir-5904c precursor". The stretch from base 6 to 89 matches the Rfam family "mir-5904 microRNA precursor family". The record is from miRBase by way of RNAcentral. Lineage: Eukaryota; Metazoa; Nematoda; Chromadorea; Rhabditida; Trichostrongylidae.